Molecule: long non-coding RNA, 669 nt
Organism: Denticeps clupeoides (denticle herring)
Lineage: Eukaryota; Metazoa; Chordata; Actinopteri; Clupeiformes; Denticipitidae
Source: Ensembl
AUUUAAGUUCAUAAAUGGCCGUAUGACGAAACUGAGCAACCAUAUGGCCAUUCCGACUGAACUCACCCUUUCCUGUGGAGAAACAGCACAGCAGCAGUGCUCUCAGUCUCAGGAUGGAGGUGCCAUAUAUGAGCUCACCAGCGUGGUGUCACAUUUGGGCAGAAUGUUUGGUCACUACAUCAGUGACAUCAUCGAAGGGUCUGCUGAUGGCUGGCUCUGCCUAAAUGACAGCUAUGCCAGCAGACUGAGUGAACAGGAGAUUCUGCAGAAAAGAGCAAAGAAAUCCUACCUGCUCUUCUACGUGCAAAGAGCACCUCAGGAUCCCCCCUGCUGAAGUGAUGACAACCUGCAGCACUGAGGGGACAUUGCUUCGCCGUGCAGAGGCCGAAGAAAAAGAAGAAGAAGAAAAGCAGGAUCGACGCGGAACACCCUGCCCCGGGCCGGGAAUGUUCCUCCCGCUCCACCUGCGGACAUGAGGGCGCGUCGGGCGCCUUCUCUCCACCCGGACCUGCAGCUCCACCCGGAGUGGACGCCACAGAGGAGCCGGCGUGCGAGGACCAGGCAGUCAGGUACCGUGGGAGGCAGCGGAUAUUUAACCCGUGAGGCCGUGUAAGCUGUGUAGGAUUUAUUAGUCUGACUGAAUUUUUCAAAAGUUAAUUUUUUAAAACU